RNAcentral lists this ribosomal RNA (255 nucleotides) under uncultured bacterium. RNAcentral describes it as "partial 16S ribosomal RNA". It matches the Rfam family "Bacterial small subunit ribosomal RNA", at positions 524 to 776 of the family's 1533-position model. The record is from RNAcentral.
UACAGAGGGUGCGAGCGUUGUUCGGAAUUACUGGGCGUAAAGCGCGCGUAGGUGGUCUUUUAAGUCCGACUGUAAAAUCCCGGGGCUCAACCCCGUGGGCUGCAGGGGAUACUGGGAGACUGGAGACACGUAGAGGCAAGCGGAAUUCCGGGUGUAGCGGUGGAAUGCGUAGAGAUCCGGAAGAACACCGGAGGCGAAGGCGGCUUGCUGGGCGUGAUCUGACGCUGAGGCGCGAAAGCGUGGGGAGCGAACAGG